ACUCAAAUGAAUUGACGGGGGCCCGCACAAGCGGAGGAACAUGUGGUUUAAUUCGAUGAUACGCGAGGAACCUUACCUGGGUUUAAAUGGGGAGUGACAGGCUUGGAAACAGGCCCUUCUUCGGACACUCUUCAAGGUGCUGCAUGGUUGUCGUCAGCUCGUGCCGUGAGGUGUCGGGUUAAGUCCCAUAACGAGCGCAACCCCUAUCGAUAGUUACCAGCACGUUACGGUGGGGACUCUAUCGAGACUGCCGGUGUAAACCGUGAGGAGGGUGGGGAUGACGUCAAAUCAGCACGGCCCUUACAUCCAGGGCUACACACGUGUUACAAUGGCCGGUACAAAGGGCAGCUACACAGCGAUGUGAUGCUAAUCUCCAAAUCCGGUCUCAGUUCGGAUCGAAGUCUGCAACCCGACUUCGUGAAGCUGGAUUCGCUAGUAAUCGCGCAUCAGCCAUGGCGCGGUGAAUACGUUCCCGGGCCUUGUACACACCGCCCGU
Molecule: ribosomal RNA, 496 nt
Filed under: uncultured archaeon
Lineage: Archaea
Description: bacterial SSU rRNA
Rfam family: Bacterial small subunit ribosomal RNA
Source: RNAcentral